AUUGAACGCUGGCGGCAGGCCUAACACAUGCAAGUCGAGCGGAGCGGCGGACGGGUGAGUAAUACCUAGGAAUCUGCCUGGUCGUGGUGGAUAAGGUCCGGAAACGGGCGCUAAUACCGCAUACUAUUAGAUGAGCAUAGGUGGGAUUAGCUAGUUGGUGGGGUAAAGGCCUACCAAGGCGACGAUCCGUAGCUGGUCUGAGAGGAUGAUCAGUCACACUGGAACUGAGACACGGUCCAGACUCCUACGGGAGGCAGCAGUGGGGAAUAUUUGACAAUGGGCGAAAGCCUGAUGCAGCCAUGCCGCGUGUGUGAAGAAGGUCUUCGGGUUGUAAAGCACUUUAAGUUGGGAGGCGUUACCCGCAGAAUAAGCACCGGCUAACUUCGUGCCAGCAGCCGCGGUAAUUC
Molecule: ribosomal RNA, 407 nt
Filed under: uncultured bacterium
Lineage: Bacteria
Description: partial 16S ribosomal RNA
Rfam family: Bacterial small subunit ribosomal RNA
Source: RNAcentral